This is a non-coding RNA of Lolium perenne, 5286 nucleotides long. The record is from RefSeq and is a predicted model, not a curated record. Lineage: Eukaryota; Viridiplantae; Streptophyta; Magnoliopsida; Poales; Poaceae.
ACAAGGCGUACUAAAUAUCUGAAAAAGGUUACACCAUUGGAUCAUCUCGGCUGGAUAAUAAUACUAACUCCAAUCUUUGGGUUGACCUUUACCAACUCGCCUUUCAGAAAUAAUAAUCAAUAGUGCUACAUCUUGGCGGUCACACUUGUGUAUCUCGGUGCGCCUACCCAUACGUAUUAUCUGGUUAGUCUAUACAUUCGUUGUAGUAUAUGUAUGCUUGUAUGUGCUUAUAUGACACUAGGUAUAUCUAUUUCCUUCCAUGGCUAUGCCACUUAUGUUUGAUGCUGUGAUGUACUCAGCUAUCUUCCUUGCUGUCAACUAUAGGUUACAUGUUCCUCUAGACAUAUUAUAGUGCUGGACCGAUUAACUGUGAAACACCUCGUGUACGUAGACCUUGUGUAUGUAGGAGCUAUGUGCUUUUGAUCUAACCUAAGCAGUCGUUGGUAUGUGUAAUAUAUUUCCUUCUGUUAUCUAUUUGUGCUUGGCAAGUGAGUAAUCUAUUUUAUCCAUUGAGUGUUUGUGGUAAAAAAACUCAACUAUUUCAAUAAAAACUUGCUAGGGCGUGCAAUGUUAUGAUGCCUGGAUUAUAUAAUUUUACCUCUUGCUUCAUAUAUUCCCUAUAGUUUCGUAGUUGUAGAAUCUCUGCUUUUUGGCUGUUGUAGACUGCUCAUUCAACUUUGAAUUUUCAUUCUCAUACAUGUGUUUGCCUUCUCGUAUGAUUCAGUCGUAUCAUGCAGGUUGUUGAGGUUCUAACAAUUAUCAUGCUUGAGACGAUACUGAAGCCCAACCACAAGUACACGGCUCACAUGGCUGAAGAGGCAAAAUAGUGCCCACCAUCAUGUUCUACCUGUCAAUUCACCGCCGUUAGCCUUCUUAUGGGAGUCUUUCACUGUAUAGAAGUACUAAUGGACAGUUUGGAGGACGCAAAUAAAAUACACUGAAUCUACACUACUUAAAAAGCACGAACAUGUUCCCUAUUCUGCCACUACAACAUUCCCUUCGUCGCUUCAUCGUCGCGCAUCGCUCGCUCCUAUGGGCCUGGCCCAAAUCCUUCGCUGACCGCAAGAUUUUCCAGACCGCGUGGAGUCGUGAAGGUUGCAUCCCUGCUCGUCCGGAACAACAGUUACCGAGGGAGGAGCCAAGCGUCCGAGCUAGGGUUUCACCCCGCCGCCGCCGCUCACUCCAGACGAUGGUCCGCGCUUCGUCCCCGGUCCGCCACCCCCACUUCUCCGAGCACGACGACGGCAACGGUGCGCGCUCGCCUCGCCCUCUCCGACCUUCGCCUUCAACCAUCACCAAGGACGACAUGCUCCGCACGCGCUACACCACCCUCACUCGCGGCGAUUGGCGGCUAGAAGGGGCCGAUGUUUGCUGAUCUUGGCGGGAUGGAGGCGGUGCUUGGCGAGUUGAUGAUGGAGGUGGUGGUUCCGCUGACCACGAGUGAAUCCUCCUCCGAGCUCUCCCCCUUCGAUUGUGCCACACCUACGACCUCAGCAUGAUCUGUAGCGGUGGCGCUAGGUCUUCGACCCCAAUCCAUGGUGGCGCCAGGUCUUCGUUUGUCCCUCACCUGCGAGACCAAAGCAGCAAGCGGCUCCCUGAAGAUCUGUUCGCGUGCCACAUCAACAUCCCAGGCGAGCCUGAUGCGGUGAGCCACCGUCUUGCAGUUUACUACUUCUGGAGUACUCUCUCUGUACGGCUGUACCAAUUCUAUAUCCUGAUGCAGACAUUUUCAAUAGUUCGUCUCAGUUUAGAUAGGAUUCUUCAGUGGUAAGUAAUAUAUAUAUCAGUGCGAACACUUUGCUUAAUUGUAGCAUAACGCCGAUCAAAUAAUUUGCAUAUGAUCGAUUAAGUAUCUGGACAAAUCAUCUCUUAAAGAAUCCUUAGUUUUCAGGGUAGUUGUUCUCAUAAUUUUUGUCUACAGAAGUUUGUCUGAUGGGUGGCAGUUUGUAAACAGAAGUUAGUUUUCAGGGUAGUUGUUCAUAUAAUCAUUACAAAGGUGUGCAGGCUACAUCAGCAGAAGUACAACACACCAUUAAAGUAUUCAGCUUUCGUCAAAAUCAAGCGUCAAGAGUUGCUGGUGAUUAUUUCACAGGAAGAUCAAAGAUAUAUAUAUUGUUUAACUAGGGCGCAUAGGCCACCAGCUCGUCACAAUCGUCUUCCGACGACAAGCAGAAGCUGGCGACUUUUGGAUUGUGAACCUACCAAGGUUUGAUGGCUUGAAGAAGAACUUGACGGAUUGUGCAUACGUUUGUACAAUGAGCGCAUUGAGUUGAGGGCAAACAUUAGGCUAUUCUGCCCGUGUCGGCCUCUAAGUGUCAAUGAGAUCUCCUGUGGGUGCCCAACAGUGGUUGAGGUCUAUCCGUUCUAGGAGACUGACCUUCGGUAUGUUCCCACAUAGAAAUUUGAUAAUGCUUGUGGACCAGCUGAUGAUCAAGGUAUCCAUUGUUCCUACCCUGUUUGAGAUACCCUAAAUUCUGUUUCAAAUUCAUAGUUUUGUGAUAUGAAAUGGAGGCUAAUAGCAUCCCGGGGAAACAAAUAUCUACUCUUAAUUUAAUAAUCUGACUGAGCUAAUGGUGUAUAUAUGCAUUCCUUGUAUCUUAGAUAUGAGUGUAUUGUUGAAGGAUAAUAAUGUGUAAUACUAUAAUUGUUUCCUCCAGAUAGGGCAGUGUAAUUCUUGAUGAUAUCAGUUUUGGAUGAGCUGGUUCGAAAUAUUUGCAUUAUUCGUUGUUAACUAGCACAUAAUUUUUCUGAAUGGCCGGUAUGCCUAAAUUGCUGCACCUUUUCUAACAGGCAAAUAUGCCUAAGCAGUACCCUACCACUAAUGGGAGCGCCACUUGUUGUGCACAGCUUAAGGGCAUUCUGUCAAAUGAAGGAAGUCGUAGUGGUGUGUAACCCAUCCUACACAAAUAUAUUUGAAGGUUCCGAUGUUGUCUGACUCAUCCUACAUUCAUUUGCCUUUAUCUACUUGGCAUCUAUACCUUAUUAAAAUUAAGUUAUGUGACUAAAUUUAGAGUCUCUGAGUAAGAAUUUCAAUGAUUUAACCACUACGACAGUUGAAAUCUUGCAAAUACCUGUUAAAUUUACAUGACUGAGAAAAGAGAGACAAAACUCUAUUUUUAACGGACUUCAGGUUAGUUGUAUCCCACCUCAGAUAUUGCUGCUUACGCUGAUUCUGUACAUAACUACUGCAGGUAUCUUCAUGCGUUUUAUAAAUAAAAAAGUAUUCGUAGGAAAUUGAUGGAGAUUCAAAACUUGUUUGUGUCCAUGAUUCUGCUCGUUCCAAUACAAGACACAUCCACAUGUAGUUAGAAGCGAAUUUGGUAGUCUGGAUGUUGGCAGUUAGUCCUGGAUAGAUGCUAGCUUAUACUGCUUGUGUUUUCAGCUGGCAUUGGCUCGUGAGCAUGCCAUUUGGUGGGGGCAAUGCGUCUGUUUGGGAAAAUAUUGGAUGUAUAACUAAUUACAGGUUCUUCUUUCAGUCUCCGUGUCCGCAGUAGUGUUGUAUUGGCACAUUGGUAUGUUUUCAGGAGGAAGAUCCUGGUUGGUAUUCGAGAGUUCGCUGAGUUCAACCCUCAGCAGGUUGUAGAUAUUGAAAUGCAUGUAAGUCAUGGUUUUCUCUGCCAAAGUAAUACCGUUUCUCUGUUUAUUAAUAAUCCCUAACCGAUGUGGAAGCAUGUCCUAUAUGCAAAGAUUACAGUGAGGAACUUAGAUUGUUAUUAUUACCGAAUUGAGUAUGUUGUAAGACGCAUGGGGAUAUAAGUAAAUUUUUCUCCAAAAUAGUCUGCAAGCUAAAUAUCAAGUUUUUGGUUUGUUCGUUUGGGCUAAUAUUUCCUAGGUACAAUGAAUAUCAAGUUUUUUGGUUAUCAGUUUUUGCCUAAUUUUUUUAAGUUGCUUUUUCGAUUAUGCAAAUUACCGAUGAUGUGGAGGUGGUUUGGGAAUUGUUUCAAUUUUGAUAUUCGAAGCAUAGGUAUGUAUUGUUCAGUAGAAGUUUAUAGAUAUAACCAGGAAGGUUAACUAGGAAGAAGUGGUAACUACAAUUGUCCCAUAGAUUACAUGCUACCUAACUGUACUUGACUUUUUUCCCUUUCCAGGAAUUUAAUUUCUAUGGUGCUAUGAGAGAAAGGCAUGUUCACCUCCCUCAAAUUUACGUUCCAAAUACUGCAAAUGCAUCACAAUGGAUAUUUCCAUCAUCACCUCAAACUAUGAUGUCUUCUCUCAGUAUUAUGAGAUUCUUUUCCGGAAAAUCUAUUGGUGAAAAUGGAUAACUUUCAUUUACAUGGCAUAUGCUUAUAGGUUUGGCUUAUUGAAUUAUCAUAUUGUAAUACUUUGACUUCUGUGAGGUCACUGAUUAACCUAUGCUAAACAUAUGCAAAUGAUUACAUGUUUACCACAUAUCCGGUUGAGACAAGGUCUGUCAUUUCUCUUUCAUGGCGCCAAGUCUGGGUUGUGGGCCUAUGGCGAGCCUCCUCCCCCGAGUGCCAUAACCAAUGACAAGCGGCGGAGAAAAAACAUGGGCGUGCAACCAGGGAUAGGUAAUGGCGGCAGCGGUGGGGAGAAGGUGCUCGUCAAGGUUAGCGGCUAGAAGGCAAGGACUGGGCAGUUCGGUCCCGUUAGUGGGGAGGCAAGGAAAGGAUUCUUGACCAAAGGAAAAUGGAGGGAGGCAGAAUGUGAGAAGGUCGAAGUGGGGAGGCAGACGAGAGGCACUAAUAGGGUGGUCGUGUUCCAGUUUGGGUGUGAAUUUCUUUUAUAUUUUUGCAGUGUCAUGACUCAAGGAAAGUUUCAAGUUAAUUAAGGCUUAAAAAGAAAGUUUGGUUAUGUGUAUGUGGCUGCAAAACUAUGGCUUCUCAAUAUGUAUCAGUAUGCUAAAUGCAUUUAAAACUCGUUGCUAUAAAUUACGGCUUCUCGAAAUGCACUUUAAUUGAAUGCCAAACUACAUGGUUAUCAAAACGUAAAGAUAUCAUGGGACCAUGGCAAGACAUUUCGCUAUAACUAUAGAAGUGAGGAGGAACACAUGUUUUUAUCAAGUGCAAGGAGUUUAACUUGGUGUGUGGCGAAACAUGGAUUGGAGCAUGUUUACCAUAAACGAUUGCCUUGACAGAUGCUGAUGAAUAUCGAAGCAAUUGAGGACUCAACUGAUGACUGCUUGAUGGAGUAAUCAGUAUAGUAUCCGUGUAGGAGAUAUUUCUUUCUCGGUUGAAGAUGUUGCUCACAGGGCUUAAUGCCAUUCUAUAUAUGUGCAUUAAGAAAAAAAAUGAAAUUUGAGACCCGUGGCAACGCACGGGCAUUUGU